CUUUAUUUUUCAUUGAUGAAAUUAUAAAUUUAGGGAAAAAAUGCAUUCUUAGAAAUUAUACAUUACUCAUGAAAAACAUGAUGUGCCUUUGUGUUGUAAUUUAAUGGAAAAAUGAAUUACAACAACAUACAUAGACAAAUAUUGCAAGGUUACAUUCAUAGGAAAUUAUAAAGAACAUCAUAAUAGUAGUUCAGAAACUAAGCAAAAUGUACAAUAUAAUCACAUAAAGGAAAUGUGUGUUUGUGGAACCAGUUUAGUGAGCCCAACUUCCAUGGACUGAUGGAUCUUGGCCAGUGAUCAGUUACAACGUUUCUCUGAGGAGCCCUGCGUGAAUAACAAACAGAUGAAUAUAACAUGAAUAACAAACAGAUGAAUAUAACAUAAAUAACAAACAGAUGAAUAUAACAUGAAUAACAAACAGAUGAAUAUAACAUGAAUAACAAACAGAUGAAUAUAACAUGAAUAACACAGACAGAUGAAUAUAACAUAAAUAACAAACAGAUUAAUAUAACAUGAAUAUCACAGACAGAUUAAUACAUCAUGAAUACCACAGACAGAUUAAUAUAACAUGAAUAACAGACAGAAUAAAACAACAUGAUUAACAAGGACAGAUUAACAUAACAUGAAUAAGAAACAAAUAAAUAUAACAUGAAUAACACAGACAGAUUAAUAUAACAUGAAUAUCAGACUGAUUAAUAUAACAUGAAUAACACAGACAGAUUAAUACAACAUGAAUAUCAGACAGAUUAAUAUAACAUGAAUACCACAGACAGAUAAUACAGAUUAACAUAAUGAAGAGAUAAAAUAGUUUGGAUGUCCUCUAUCAAAAUAAAGAAGAGAUAGAGGAAUGUGGAUGUCCUGUAUGAUAUUAAUGAAGAGAUAGAGGAGUGUGGAUGUCCUCUAUCACAUUAAAGAAGAGAUAGAGGAGUGUGGAUGUCCUGUAUGACAACAAAGAAGAGAUAGAGGAGUGUGGAUGUCCUGUAUCACAUUAAAGAAGAGAUAGAGGAGUGUGGAUGUCCUGUAUCACAUUAUAGAAGAGAUAGAGGAGUGUGGAUGUCCUGUAUGACAUUAUAGAAGAGAUAGAGGAGUGUGGAUGUCCUGUAUCACAUUAAAGAAGAGAUAGAGGAGUGUGGAUGUCCUGUAUGACAUUAUAGAAGAGAUAGAGGAGUGUGGAUGUCCUGUAUCACAUUAAAGAAGAGAUAGAGGAGUGUGGAUGUCCUGUAUCACAUUAUAGAAGAGAUAGAGGAGUGUGGAUGUCCUGUAUGACAUUAUAGAAGAGAUAGAGGAGUGUGGAUGUCCUGUAUCACAUUAAAGAAGAGAUAGAGGAGUGUGGAUGUCCUGUAUGACAUUAUAGAAGAGAUAGAGGAGUGUGGAUGUCCUGUGUCACAUUAUAGAAGAGAUAGAAGAGUGUGGAUGUCCUGUAUGACAUUAUAGAAGAGAUAGAGGAGUGUGGAUGUCCUGUAUCACAUUAAAGAAGAGAUAGAGGAGUGUGGAUGUCCUGUAUCACAUUAAAGAAGAGAUAGAGGAGUGUGGUGUCAUAGUUGCAUUGUACCCACGUGGAACUUCCAAAAUAGAGCCGUGAUGACUAGCCCGUAGAAUGUACUCUUAGCGAUGACGAUGAUGUAGGCCAGUUUGGCAAAAACUGAGCUCUUCACAAGGUUUUCUGUGAGGAAAGUGAAAAUAGUCAUAUUACCUUGUUAAAGACUGUCAGGUAAUAUUGUCAGCCAAUCAUCAAAUAAGACAAAUUCCUCACAAUCAGUGAUCUGGCUUGUGUGUUUGUUCAUCCUGGGGACAUAAAUAAGGGCCCUAUUUGCCCUUUACACCUAAUUCUACUAUUCAAAGAGUGAAUGUUGAGAUGAUUAGUGGAAUCAGGUGUGUGGGAGAAAAGAUGUCCACACCUUUGGGUUCCCAGAACCAGGAAAACA
Esox lucius (northern pike) is the source of this 1925-nucleotide long non-coding RNA. NCBI's taxonomy places the organism in Eukaryota, Metazoa, Chordata, Actinopteri, Esociformes, Esocidae. The record is from Ensembl.